Molecule: transfer RNA, 75 nt
Filed under: bacterium
Lineage: Bacteria
Description: tRNA-Asp
Rfam family: tRNA
About the family: Transfer RNA (tRNA) molecules are approximately 80 nucleotides in length. Their secondary structure includes four short double-helical elements and three loops (D, anti-codon, and T loops).
Source: RNAcentral
GCGGGGGUAGCUCAAUUUGGUUAGAGCGUUGCCUUGUCACGGCAAAGGUUGCGGGUUCAAGUCCCGUCCCUCGCG